AACGAACGCUGGCGGCAGGCUUAACACAUGCAAGUCGAACGGGCCCUUCGGGGUCAGUGGCAGACGGGUGAGUAACACGUGGGAACGUGCCCUUCAGUUCGGAAUAACCCAGGGAAACUUGGGCUAAUACCGGAUACGCCCUUUUGGGGAAAGAUUUAUCGCUGAAGGAUCGGCCCGCGUCUGAUCAGCUAGUUGGUGGGGUAAAGGCUCACCAAGGCGACGAUCAGUAGCUGGUCUGAGAGGAUGAUCAGCCACACUGGGACUGAGACACGGCCCAGACUCCUACGGGAGCCAGCAGUGGGGAAUAUUGGACAAUGGGCGCAAGCCUGAUCCAGCCAUGCCGCGUGAGUGAUGAAGGCCUUAGGGUUGUAAAGCUCUUUCGGCGGGGACGAUAAUGACGGUACCCGCAGAAGAAGCCCCGGCUAACUUCGUGCCAGCCGCCGCCGUAA
This 449-nucleotide ribosomal RNA is filed under the name uncultured bacterium. RNAcentral describes it as "partial 16S ribosomal RNA". It matches the Rfam family "Bacterial small subunit ribosomal RNA", at positions 29 to 523 of the family's 1533-position model. The record is from RNAcentral.